UACAGAGGGGGCAAGCGUUGUUCGGAAUUACUGGGCGUAAAGGGCGCGUAGGCGGCCUGCUAAGUCGAACGUGAAAUCCCCGGGCUCAACCCGGGAACUGCGUCCGAUACUGGUAGGCUUGAAUCCGGGAGAGGGAUGCGGAAUUCCAGGUGUAGCGGUGAAAUGCGUAGAUAUCAGGAGGAACACCGGUGGCGAAGGCGGUGGUCUGGGCCGGCACUGACGCUGAGGAGCGAAAGCGUGGGGAGCGAACAGG
Molecule: ribosomal RNA, 253 nt
Filed under: uncultured bacterium
Lineage: Bacteria
Description: partial 16S ribosomal RNA
Rfam family: Bacterial small subunit ribosomal RNA
Source: RNAcentral